GCAGAACGAACCGCUGGCGGCGCGCCUAACACAUGCAAGUCGCACGCGAAAGGGGGCAACCCUGAGUAAGUGGCGCACGGGUGAGUAACGCGUAGGUGAUCUACCUUUGUGACCGGGAUAACCAGCCGAAAGGUUGGCUAAUACUGGAUAGAGCGCACUUAUCGUAAAGAUGAGUGCGGGAAAGGGCGGCGUAGCAAUACGCUGUUGCACUGAGAUGAGCCUGCGUCUCAUUAGCUAGUUGGUAGGGUAAUGGCCUACCAAGGCUUUGAUGGGUAGCUGGUCUGAGAGGACGAUCAGCCACACUGGAACUGAAACACGGUCCAGACUCCUACGGGAGGCAGCAGUGGGGAAUCUUGCGCAAUGGACGAAAGUCUGACGCAGCGACGCCGCGUGGGUGAAGAAGGCCUUCGGGUUGUAAAGCCCUGUCGAGUGGGAAAAAUGGUAUCCGGAAUAAUACGCCGGGUAAUUGAUGGUACCACUAGAGGAAGCACCGGCUAACUCCGUGCCAGCAGCCGCGGUAA
RNAcentral lists this ribosomal RNA (521 nucleotides) under uncultured delta proteobacterium. RNAcentral describes it as "bacterial SSU rRNA". It matches the Rfam family "Bacterial small subunit ribosomal RNA", at positions 34 to 523 of the family's 1533-position model. Lineage: Bacteria; Deltaproteobacteria. The record is from RNAcentral.